Non-coding RNA from Cinara cedri, 255 nucleotides. NCBI's taxonomy places the organism in Eukaryota, Metazoa, Arthropoda, Insecta, Hemiptera, Aphididae. The record is from the annotation of a GenBank genome assembly.
AUUGCUCUCCGUAAUAUUGUACUUAAAAGAAAAUUGUACCUAUAGUCAAUUUAUGUAAAAAUUAGUGGUGCUAUUCGGAAAGGCAGAGUGUGACUCUCGUCCCCUUGAAAUUCGUAUACAUAAUAUCAGUAUAUGUGUUAAUCGAUGAUUUUGCAGGUUCAUUCAGGAUUAAAUAUUUAAUACAUUUUUUUCUAGAAAUGCUGCACAAUUACAUUCCAUUUCAAACGCUUUUUUAAUAAUAAUAGACCUGAUGCA